Non-coding RNA from Morus notabilis, 173 nucleotides. The record is from Rfam. NCBI's taxonomy places the organism in Eukaryota, Viridiplantae, Streptophyta, Magnoliopsida, Rosales, Moraceae.
CUGGAAUGAUGCAAUUUAGCCAAAUCAGACAUUGACGUGCUCCAAAAGGCACAAUAGUUCCUCAAAGCUCAGAAUAUCUUGUAUGAAAUUGAUCAAGCUUUGGAUAAUAGAUGCCUCUUGUAGAAGCGCAUCCGUCUGAUGAUAAACUAGAGAUUGGUCGUUUGCUGACCAGA